GAUGAACGCUGGCGGCGUGCCUAAUACAUGCAAGUCGAGCGAACAGACGAGGAGCUUGCUCCUCUGACGUUAGCGGCGGACGGGUGAGUAACACGUGGAUAACCUACCUAUAAGACUGGGAUAACUUCGGGAAACCGGAGCUAAUACCGGAUAAUAUAUUGAACCGCAUGGUUCAAUAGUGAAAGACGGUUUUGCUGUCACUUAUAGAUGGAUCCGCGCCGCAUUAGCUAGUUGGUAAGGUAACGGCUUACCAAGGCAACGAUGCGUAGCCGACCUGAGAGGGAGACGGCCCACACUGAACAUGAGACCCGGCCAAGACCCAGGCGGGGGGCCACAGGAGAAAAGCUGCCGCAAUGGGCAAGGUCCUAACGGAGCAACCCCGGGGAAGUAAUGAAGUUUUUAGUAUGAAAAAACUUUGUAAGUAGGAAAAACAAAAUGUGUAAUUAAAUGGGCACGCCUUGAGGGUACCUAAACAGAAAGCCACGACAACCUACGUG
Molecule: ribosomal RNA, 497 nt
Filed under: uncultured bacterium
Lineage: Bacteria
Description: partial 16S ribosomal RNA
Rfam family: Bacterial small subunit ribosomal RNA
Source: RNAcentral